CGAGUGCCGGAGGACUCUGUGUUGUGAGUGCUAUAAACAUAAAAUUUUAUGCAUGUGUAUUAUGAAGGGUUUUAAUUUUUCACAAACAUAUAGUGGAGCGGAGUUUUAAACAAUAAAACAGCAUGUUUCGCUUUUUUAGCAAACGGUUUGGAAAGUCUUCUCAGAAUAUUAAAAAGAGCCAGUGUGAUGAAAAUGCUAGAUACAGCAAAAAUAUAAUUCCGUGUAAAGUAAUUUUACUCGAUGGCUCUAUCCUCAGUGUGGAAGUAUCGAUGCUGGAAGGAAGAGAACAGAUUGAUUGCUGAAGUCCAGGCAAAGGUUGCUGUAAGAAGA
This 330-nucleotide unclassified non-coding RNA is filed under the name Stegodyphus dumicola. RNAcentral's name for it is "uncharacterized LOC118199481, transcript variant X1". Lineage: Eukaryota; Metazoa; Arthropoda; Arachnida; Araneae; Eresidae. The record is from RNAcentral.